AGUAACACGUGGGUACCUGCCCAUAAACUGGGAUAACUCCGGGAAACCGGGGCUAAUACCGGAAAACAUUUUGAACUGCAUGGUUCGAAAUUGAAAGGCGGCUUCGGCUGUCACUUAUGGAUGGACCCGCGUCGCAAUAGCUAGUUGGUGAGGUAACGGCUCACCAGGGCAACGAUGCGUACCCCACCUGAGAGGGUGAUCGGCCACACUGGGACUGAGACGCGGCCCAUACUCCUACGGGAGGCAGCAGUAGGGAAUCUUCCGCAGUGGACGAAAGUCUGACGGAGCAGCGCCGCGUGAGUGAUGAAGGCUUUCGGGUCGUAAAACUCUUUUGUUAGGGAAGAACAAGUGCUAGUUGAAUAAACUGGCACCUUGACGGUACCUAACCAAAAUGCCACGGCUAACUACGUGCCAGCAGCCGCGGUAAUACGUAGGUGGCAAGCGUUAUCCGGAAUUAUUGGGCGUAAAGCGCGCGCAGGUGGUUUCUUAAGUCUGAUGUGAAAGCCCACGGCUCAACCGUGGAGGGUCAUUGGAAACUGGGAGACUUGAGUGCAAAAGAGGAAAGUGGAAUUCCAUGUG
Molecule: ribosomal RNA, 579 nt
Filed under: Bacillus wiedmannii
Lineage: Bacteria; Bacillati; Bacillota; Bacilli; Caryophanales; Bacillaceae
Description: bacterial SSU rRNA
Rfam family: Bacterial small subunit ribosomal RNA
Source: RNAcentral